CACGUAGGAGGCAAGCGUUAUCCGGAUUUAUUGGGCGUAAAGCGCGCGCAGGUGGUUGGACAAGUCGGAUGUGAAAGCCCCGGACUCAAUCUGGGGAGGUCAUUCGAUACUGUUGGACUUGAGAGCGGGAGAGGGAAGCGGAAUUCCGGGUGUAGUGGUGAAAUGCGUAGAUAUCCGGAGGAACACCAGUGGCGAAGGCGGCUUCCUGGCCCGUUUCUGACACUAAGGCGCGAAAGCGUGGGGAGCGAACGGA
Molecule: ribosomal RNA, 253 nt
Filed under: uncultured prokaryote
Description: partial 16S ribosomal RNA
Rfam family: Bacterial small subunit ribosomal RNA
Source: RNAcentral